RNAcentral lists this non-coding RNA (87 nucleotides) under pig gut metagenome. RNAcentral's name for it is "TPP riboswitch (THI element)". It matches the Rfam family "TPP riboswitch aptamer (THI element)", at positions 10 to 89 of the family's 105-position model. From Rfam's summary of the family: Vitamin B(1) in its active form thiamin pyrophosphate (TPP) is an essential coenzyme that is synthesised by coupling of pyrimidine and thiazole moieties in bacteria. The previously detected thiamin-regulatory element, thi box was extended, resulting in a new, highly conserved RNA secondary structure, the THI element, which is widely distributed in eubacteria and also occurs in some archaea. The record is from RNAcentral.
GGAUAGGGGAGCUUGUGCGGCAGGCUGAGAGGGCAUUUACAAUGCCGACCCAUUGACCUGAUGCGGAUAAUGCCGCCGAAGGGAAAA